UACGGAGGGGGCGAGCGUUAUUCGGAAUUAUUGGGCGUAAAGGGCGCGUAGGCGGCUCGAUAAGUCAAAGGUGAAAUCCCUCGGCUCAACUGAGGAACUGCCUUUGAUACUGUAGAGCUUGAGUCCGGGAGGGGGUAGCGGAAUUCCCAGUGUAGCGGUGAAAUGCGUAGAUAUGCGGAGGAACACCGAUGGCGAAGGCAAUCCCCUGGGCCUGCACUGACGCUCAUGCACGAAAGCGUGGGGAGCAAACAGG
This 253-nucleotide ribosomal RNA is filed under the name uncultured bacterium. RNAcentral describes it as "partial 16S ribosomal RNA". It matches the Rfam family "Bacterial small subunit ribosomal RNA", at positions 524 to 776 of the family's 1533-position model. The record is from RNAcentral.